This 550-nucleotide ribosomal RNA is filed under the name uncultured bacterium. RNAcentral describes it as "bacterial SSU rRNA". It matches the Rfam family "Bacterial small subunit ribosomal RNA", at positions 355 to 896 of the family's 1533-position model. The record is from RNAcentral.
UAGGGAAUCUUCGGCAAUGGACGGAAGUCUGACCGAGCAACGCCGCGUGAGUGAAGAAGGUUUUCGGAUCGUAAAGCCCUGUUGUAAGAGAAGAACGAGUGUGAGAGUGGAAAGUUCACACUGUGACGGUAUCUUACCAGAAAGGGACGGCUAACUACGUGCCAGCAGCCGCGGUAAUACGUAGGUCCCGAGCGUUGUCCGGAUUUAUUGGGCGUAAAGCGAGCGCAGGCGGUUAGAUAAGUCUGAAGUUAAAGGCUGUGGCUUAACCAUAGUAGGCUUUGGAAACUGUUUAACUUGAGUGCAAGAGGGGAGAGUGGAAUUCCAUGUGUAGCGGUGAAAUGCGUAGAUAUAUGGAGGAACACCGGUGGCGAAAGCGGCUCUCUGGCUUGUAACUGACGCUGAGGCUCGAAAGCGUGGGGAGCAAACAGGAUUAGAUACCCUGGUAGUCCACGCUGUAAACGAUGAGUGCUAGGUGUUAGACCCUUUCCGGGGUUUAGUGCCGUAGCUAACGCAUUAAGCACUCCGCCUGGGGAGUACGACCGCAAGGUUG